Paramuricea clavata is the source of this 228-nucleotide non-coding RNA. The record is from the annotation of a GenBank genome assembly. NCBI's taxonomy places the organism in Eukaryota, Metazoa, Cnidaria, Anthozoa, Malacalcyonacea, Plexauridae.
GGAUGUGCGAGAAGCAAUUUUAAAACCUCGUUGUUUAAGUUUAGACUUGGUUGCCAAAUCCCAUGUGUCCAUGCAAUCAAUGCCUCGGCAUUGUUUGGGCACAUGGUCAUAGAUUUAGGCUGAGCCACGUCUAAAAGAAGAACUCAGAUCUGAAAUAUUACUCGUGAACUUCUGUGUGCUUUCUACGCUGCAAUUGCUGCGGGCACGUACAGUCGAGUAUUAAAUUAA